This is a long non-coding RNA of Octopus sinensis (East Asian common octopus), 6614 nucleotides long. RefSeq lists it as uncharacterized. The record is from RefSeq and is a predicted model, not a curated record. Lineage: Eukaryota; Metazoa; Mollusca; Cephalopoda; Octopoda; Octopodidae. The transcript has 4 exons.
AAGGAAAAAAUAGUUAACUGGAAGUGCUAAGCUAAAUUAGUUAUUCUGUUAGUCAUGCUUGUUACUUAGUUUAGAAAAACAUGUUUGAAGUGAUAAUGGUUACAAUGAUUUAAAUAAUCUACUAAAACAUAAUCUGCUAAAAUAAUCUGCUAAAACAUGAACUUCCUCAAAGAUGUAUAAAAUCUUUCAUAGAUCUUAAGACAUUUGGGAAUGUUUGGAUAGACUUGCAAUUGGAUGCGUAUAGAAAACAGAGCAUACAACAGCAUAAUGAAGAGGAUAAAUGAAACAAGUCCAUUCUGUGGCAUUAGGUCAGUGCAGUUAUUUUUCUCAGUAGCCAGGAAUUAUCAUUUCGGGGUCAUUUUGAAUCCAAUAAUCAUGGAAAUUGUAAAGAACUCUUAUAUUUAAUCAGUAAAUAUGACAAAAAAUUGGCAAGCUAUCUUGAUACAUCUUGUUUUCUCAGGUUUCUGAAACAGAAUUCAAAAUGACUUGAUUGAUGCAGUUCAAAAAGUUUUGUUGGAUGAAAUAGAAAAUGAACUGAAGCAGGCUAAAUUUGUAGCUUUUGUUGUAGAUGAAACAUCUGAUGUAUCAAACUAUUCACAACUUUCAACUGUUUUACAUUAUGUUACAAAGAUUGUGUUAUUAAAAAAUGAUUUAUCGGUUUUAAUGAUGUUAGAAUAGAUUGCUCAGCAAAUGCUUUAUCUGAAGAUGUUUUUAAAUGCAUUGAAACAUGGACAUGUGGAAGCAAAUUAAUUGCACAAACCUAUGAAGGUGCCACUGCAAUGGCAGGCAAUUAAAUGGGUUGCAGUCAAAAGUAAGAGAGAAAUAUGAAUAUGUGAUCAUUGUUCAUAGUUGUGCUCAUGCAUUUAAUUUAGUUCUUUUGUAAGCAUGCUCUGCUAUAAAAGAAUGCAAAAUAUUUUCUUCUGCCAUAAAUGAACUGGGUACAUUUUUUAUGAAAUUACCUAAAAGGGCUAAUUUAUUACAUAGCAUAGUUAAAAAAUGCUACAGGAACCAGAUGGAACUACUCCUCGUGUCUUGUUCUUAUUAUAAAAGAAAAUUGUAAUUUCAUAAUCAGCCUUUUUGAAGACAUCAUUGAAAGCCCUGAAGCAUGGGAUGAGACCACAAUAAAUUAUGCUUUUGGAUUCUUACAUAAUUUAAAUGCUCCCGAUUUCUUAUUUUUAUCAGAAGUAUUUAGUGACAUAUUUUCUUUUAUUGAUGUCUUAUUUAACAUCCUUCAAACUAAUCAUAACAUAGUAUAUUGUAAAGAGCAAAUAGAUAAAACUAGAAGCGUACUUGAAAAUAAAAGUCAAUUUUUCAAUAUUUUAUGAUAUGUUAGAGGAAAAAUAUGGCAUCGAUGCAGCAAUUGAAAUUAAAAUAUCCAGGAAUAAAUCUAUUGAUCUCCAACAACAUUAUAGAAUGCUCUAUAACAACAUUAUUGGCACAAUAGCUGACCAAUUAAUAAUGCAAUGCUCAUCCUUAGAAAAGCUUAAAUUCAUAGAACUUUUCAAUUUCAGCAAAAGUGAGGAAUAUCACAAAAAAUUUCUUUAAAAACUACUUACGGUAGUUUUUUUUUUUUUUUUGACAUAAUACGAUUUCAGAGUGAAUUAAAUGUUUUGUAUUCUAUGAAAGAUUUUAAAAAGCAGUGUGAGUAAUUUAAUGCAUCAAUGAUAUGAUAGAAGCAAUGCCAGAACUCUUCAAUCUUUGCAACCUUAUUUUGACAAUUCUGUCUACAACUGCCCCUGUAGAGCUGUCCUUUUCUGCAUUGAAAAGAAUUAAAACUUACCAAAGAAAUACCACCAGAGAGAAAAGACUUUUGGGGUUGGCUCUUAUAUCAAUUGAAAAAUAUUUACUUCAACAACUAAUUAAAACAAGAUUUCUGUGACAAUGUAAUAAAUAUUUUUGCCCUAAAAGAUCAAAGAACUGAAUUAAUUUAUAAAUGAGGUAUGUAAAUAAUUUUUUGUACAUCUUUUCUGAAAUUUUUAAACACAUUAAAACAGCGACCAUCAUGGCCAUAUUAUGAAACUAAUUUGGUUCUCUUAAUUAAACAAUUUAAAAGAUGAAUCAGCUCAACCAAUAAGUAUGAGGGUAGCUUGAAAAUUUCAUAGGCUGACUAUGAAGGAGUGAUGCUAGAAAUCUUGCAUGCAUUCAUUUCAACUCCACAUAUUAAUAAAUGCAUUGUUUCUUUUCAGGCAAACUGACAUCUGACUGUUCAAAGAAGACUUCAAAAGUUACUAGUAGCUACUUCUCUCGAAAAUAGAUAAAAUUUGGCAUUGUGGUGUAUCACAUAUCUUCAGAAAAGGCUUUAGCCCCCAAGGACAUUCCUGCUGACCUGGUUGCUACAUUACAGAAUGAUGCUUCAGUGGGCAGCUGAACUUAGGAGGGAACGGGAUAGUUUUGAAGAUCACCAAGGAAAACAUUGAUCAUUCACCACAUGUUGAUGGAUAACAGGCGAUUGACUAUGAAUCAAAUAGCCAAUGUUAUUAGCAUAUCCUGUGAGAGAGUUGAGAAUAUUCUGCACAAUGAACUUGGCAUGAUGAAGGUUCAUUCUUGAUGGGUGCUACAUCUGACACCUGAUCAAAGCACAUCAAACUGAUCACACAACAGAAAAAUCUGACAUUGUUUGUGGCAGAUCCACUUGGUCUUCUUGAAUGUAUCAUAAUCCAUAAUGAGUGUUAGGUUCAUCACUUUAAGCCAGAGAUAAUCCAUGCAGUGGAAACAACCCUCCUCAGCUGCUCGAAAGAAGACCAAGGUCGUUUCAUCUGCAGGGAAGGUGAUGACCUCAGUUAUUUGGAAUGCAAAAGGCUUUGUGUUUAUUGACAUUGUGAUUAUCUUCAAAAGGGCCACCUUGUCAAUGGAGUGUACUAUGCCAACAUGCUGAGGCAGUUACCAAAUGCUCAGGAAAACUAACAAAAGGAGUCUUCUUUCAUUAGGACAAUACUCCAGCACACAUGCCCUUAGUUUCAAUGGCUGCUAUGCAUGGCUGUGGCUUUUAAUUAGUUGAUCACUAUCCUUAUUCCCUUAAUUUGGCCCCAUUUGACUAUCAUCUGUUUGCCAACAUGAAAAACACAUGACUGGGAACCAGUAUCACAGUGAUGAUGACAUCAUAUCUGCUGUAGAUCACUUUUUACCAGGAGGAUGAACGUUUCUUCACCAAUGGGAUUCAAGCACUGCAAUACCAAUGGAACAACUGUAUGAACUUCAAGGGGGAGGGGUCUAUGUAGAAAACUAAAUCUUAUUUGGUCAUAUUCCAUGAGAGAAUUUUGGUCAGCCUAUGAACUUUUCAAUUGACCUUCAUAUUCAUUGCAUGACCAAUGUCAAAAGUCUCUGCACACCACUGAAAUAUAUAUAUAUAUAUAUAUAUAUAUAUAAAUGAUUUUAUUUAGCAAGUACAUUGUAGUAAAGGUGCUAGCCUGCUUUAUAGCAUAUCACACUCUCUAGACAUCUGGUCUAAUCACAAUUAGUUCAGCAGUGUAAGUCAAUAUCAUUUUAGUUUUUAGAUCUUGAAUUUCUCAUGGUUAUCAGCAUUUUAUUUUUGAGUAUUAUGAAAAACUGAUAAUGUAAAAUACCUCUUGAUUUAUUUAUUUUUAUCAUUAUCUUUUUGUCUGCUCAUGGUGUAGAGGUCCUCUGAUAAUGAAAAGGGAAUAAUGUUUGUUUUUUAAUACUUUAUUUAUUACACUUAAAUAUGAGAAUCUAUUUGCAAGUGGUAUACUAGUAAGGGUUAACAUUUUAUAUAAUUUUAAAUUCAGUUGCUGUGAUAUUGGACUUGUACAAAAGUGCAACAAGUUCUAUGCCAAAAGUAAUAUUGUAGUCCAUGUUUGUAGGCAAAAGAUUUCACAUAGUUUCAACUAUUCAACUAAUCUUAUUGUCAGGUUGCAGUAUUGUUUUUUUUGUGUGUGUGUUUGGUGCAAUUUCAAUAUUGCUGUUUUAGUAAUUAAUAAUAGUUAGCCAUGUUGAUGUAUUCUUAUAGAAAUUAAGCAAUGAUGAUACUUUAUAACAAAAAACAUUAUCCUUUUGAUAUAUGAUGGCAAUAUUCCUACUGCAAAUGUGAGAGUGAGCUGGCAGAAUCAUUAGAAUGCUGGGCAAAAUGCUUAUCAACAUUUAAUCCAUCUUCACAUUAAGAGUUCAAAUUCCACUGAGGUUGAUUUUGCAUUUCAUCCUUUUGGAGUCAAUAAGAUAAGAACCAGUUGAGUAUGUAAUCAACUUACUACCUCCCCCGAACUUGUCAAAAUUUGAAACCAAUAUUUCUACUAUGAAAUCAUUGAGUUCUAGUAUGGAGAGUGUGAGCAAAGAAACAGUUCUGUCUUUAUGAAAGCUGCAUUUGACUCAGUUUGAAUGUUGAAAAGGUUAUAUUUUCACUUUGUUGUUCUGCUAUGAUGCUUACCACACACACAUUCAGAACAGAGCUUCAUGAGUUGUCAACCUGUCACAUGUGUCACAAUUCUUUAACAUAAACUAAAUAGUUUUUAUGUUUGGAGAAGUGAAAAAUCCCUUUUCAGCAUGCAAACUAAUAGAAUGUGUCCUGCUAACAUAACAAAAUUAGAACUAGUCAUAGGUUAUAAAAACUUUUUCUCUUUUUUUGUUUUGGACAAAAAGUUAGUAUUCCAGUUUCAACUUUCAUUUAAGAAAAUAACUGCCCACUCUUCUUUUUUUUUUAGGUUUAAUUUUAGUAUUGUCAAAUAAAGUCUUGGUUUUAUUCAUCUGUAUACAAAAUACAUACAAAUGUAUGUAGUAUAUGUACACACACACACAUACAGAAGUGGCAACUGAUGAGAUGUUUAGAUGCAAUCUACUUGUCUAUGUGCCAUAUUUGUAGGAUAUUCAGUAUCAGUUAAUCUCUAUGUAAUUUAAGAGGCACAAUGGCUAUGAAGUUAAGCUACUAGAUUAUUGAUUACAUGGUCAUUAGUUCAGCUUUUAUUAACUAUUAUUGCAUUGUAUUAUUGAGCAAGCAACAUAGCAUUUCUUUUGUCAAGUACAUUAAAAUAUAUGAUUCAUUGAUGAAGUCAUAAUAAGGCUGUAAAAUGCCUAAAAUCUUUUCCUAUAUUUACUGGAAUAAUUAAAACUAUAUUAAUGAAACAUUAAUAUUGUUUUUUGUUAUCUCAGCAUUUUUAAGCUUCCUACAUUAGAUGCUAACACUAACUUUAUCAUUGUUUUUAAUGUGGAUGGCUUAUAUAAGUAAUUUAUUCUAAAACAUUUGGUCUAGUUUGCCCAACUGAACAAAACUAGGUUCAUUCACCCAUACAGUCGAGUGGUUUGCAGUAGUAAGGGUAUUUAGCUCUAAAAAUCUAUUGUUCUAACAUUCAUACAGGUAUGCAGAAGUGAAUCUAAGCCCUUUAAAAAUAAAAUGAUAAAAUGGCUGUUCUAGCUAAGCCAUGCCAUCCUUAUUGUUUAGUUUGCUACAUUGAGAGUUUGAACUUCAGAUUAUAUAGCUAUUGGGUUUUAUGGAAAAAGAAACUAUUCAAAGAAUCAUUUGAUUGACCAUCUUGUCUUUUUUGUUGAAUAUGCUUUUCUAUGAUUUAAGAUUUAAAAUAUUUCUUAUUUAUAUGGCUCUAAAGUUAAGAUACUGGACUAUUGACCAUAUGGUCAUAAGUCCAGUUCUUACUACUAUAUCAACUGCUUGCUUCAGUUUGAGUGAUACAGAGCAGUCUCUUUCCUCAUGUUUGAAUGAUUAAUGAUAGGAAGGACAUCUUACCAUAUAAACAAUUGAUCCAAUAAAACUAAUGUCACACAUAUUUACAUGAAAUGAAAAAUAGCUGAAUGAAUAAAGAGGUGUCAAACAGAAAUUUAGUUGGUAUAUUUUACAUAUUGAGUGAAUUUGGAAUUAUUCAUUGUUGAGGCAUAAGUAGCAUUUAAGCUUAAAUUUUGCAACCCAACAAGUCAUAAUCAACAAUUGUGCAAUACCUAAGCUGUUGAUAGAUAAUCUGCCAGAGUUUGUAUGGUGAACAAAUUAGAGCCCUUUGGCUUGAGAUUCAAUGACUUUCAAGGGUUCAUAAAACUAAAGUAAAACUGAUAAUAUGUGAGUAUAUAAAGGUUUAAGAAAAAGGUCCUUAAUUUAAAAUUUCAGAAUUUAUGGUAAUUUGUGUUAAUUAUUAUGCAGAAUACAUAACUGUAUAAAGAACAUAUUCUGUGAGCCUUGUCUUAAACAUUACUUUCAUUAGGAUACAAUACUGGCCUACUAAUACUUUUCGAUAUAUUUCACUUAUUUAAAAGUAUUUAUUAACAUCAUAUACUGUCACUAUUUAUCAGCUUAGUAUAUUGCCACUUGCACUGUUUAUUAACUUAGCAUGCUUUCAUAUAGACAUGUAGUGUAUAUUUUAUAAAACAAUGUAUGUUUAAGUUUAUUAUGAUAUUUAGUACUCCUUGUUUCAGGAGCUCCUUUCUUGGCCUUUCUUGCAUGAGGGAACAAUUGGACAGAAACAAAAUACCCUGAUUAGUAAAUUAUGUGAUUCAGCACAAAAUAAUUUAUAGAUUAUCAAAUUUUUUAAUCAAAUCCAAGUUGUCUCCUUAAUCAUAAAUAUGAAUUUACUAUAUCAGAAUCUGGAAAAGUAAAAUGGUCAUCACAAAGUUGGAGUGAUGAAAGCACUCCCCUUUUCUCUUGAUUGCUGCAUUGCAAAUCUGUG